UACGUAGGGGGCUAGCGUUGUCCGGAUUUAUUGGGCGUAAAGAGCGUGUAGGCGGCCAAGUAGGUCCGGUGUGGAAACUCGAGGCUUAACCUCGAGAUGUCAUCGGAAACCAUUUGGCUAGAGUCCGGAAGAGGAAAGUGGAAUUCCUGGUGUAGCGGUGAAAUGCGCAGAUAUCAGGAAGAACACCAAUGGCGAAAGCAGCUUUCUGGGACGGUACUGACGCUGAGACGCGAAAGCGUGGGGAGCGAACAGG
This 253-nucleotide ribosomal RNA is filed under the name uncultured bacterium. RNAcentral describes it as "partial 16S ribosomal RNA". It matches the Rfam family "Bacterial small subunit ribosomal RNA", at positions 524 to 776 of the family's 1533-position model. The record is from RNAcentral.